Sorghum bicolor (sorghum) is the source of this 1044-nucleotide long non-coding RNA. RefSeq lists it as uncharacterized. Lineage: Eukaryota; Viridiplantae; Streptophyta; Magnoliopsida; Poales; Poaceae. The transcript has 4 exons. The record is from RefSeq and is a predicted model, not a curated record.
AAAGAAGACACUAAGAUUUUAAAACUGCAGUGUUUUUGAAGCUGAAAGACCAGGCUGCAGAUUUACAGUCCAGCAAAGAAUCGGAACAUACUUUUACAAGGGUGUGUUGUAUGGUUCAGUUGGAUUUGUCUGUGGCAUAAUUGGUCAAGGAAUUGCUAAUAUGAUAAUGACUGCCAAAAGGAGUGUCAGAAAAUCAGAUGAAGAUAUUCCUGUUCCACCUCUUGUUAAAAGUGCUGCUAUGUGGGGAAGCUGCUAAGUUAUCAGCUGAGACUGAGACAGUUGGGAGAUGUAGUGGUGGUGCUGCCUGAGGUCCACCAUGCUCUCUUGAAGGUUUUUUUCACUGAUCUUGUAUAUGGAGUUGAAACUUUUGAUGAUCCAAUAGUUGAUUCAAAGGUAUAAUUUCUGUUCUCUAUGCAAACUUGUUUUCGUAGCUUCAUGAUAGCCUUUUCCAAUUACUACCUCGUAUAAAAAGCAAUCAUUUUAUCAAGGAAUUUUAGACUGGCGUGAAAAAUAAAAUCUAAGUUGUAAGAGUUCUAUGGGCUAUGCCACACACCAUUAAAUGAAUCAAGGGGCAUUUGGAAUUGUAGUAUAUACUGACAAAGGGUUUCUUAUAUUGACAUCAUUAAAUCGAGGUAAUGCGUUGUGAUUUCAUUUGUAGAGUUAAUUUUAAUUUGGCUUGUGCGGAUAGUAUUUGUUACGGUGAUUAUGAAUAUUUGAUAGUUGUUACAUGGUUUUUGUUGCUAAGCUAAUAGUGCUUAUGGAUGCUCUUGGUUGGAUGAAUGUGCCAUCGGAACAUGGCCUCAGCAUACAAGUUUUCACUCACGAUGUUGCUUUCAGCCUCAGAGGAUUCAACGCUAUGUGCUGAAGUCCUAUAGCAAUUGUGUAUAGUUAUUCUAAAUUUCUUUUAGAAAGAAUAUAUAGCUGCAUCAUAUAUUUAAUAUAGCUGCAUCCAACGUUACUCGGACAUAAUACUUGCUCCCAUGGUACUAUACUGGUUAUGUCACUCUAAUAUUGGUAUUUCAUUUUAUAAUAUUGUUAUCUUAA